Molecule: non-coding RNA, 74 nt
Organism: Pteropus alecto (black flying fox)
Lineage: Eukaryota; Metazoa; Chordata; Mammalia; Chiroptera; Pteropodidae
Source: Rfam
GGCUCCAUAGCGUAGUGGUCAGCAUGUCUGCUUUACACGCAGAAGGUCUUGGGUUCGCGCCCCACGUGGAGCCA